AUGAGAGCCCCUUUGAACUUGCUGGGAAGUUUAACAGCGAGAGUGGAGAUUCCUGGGAGAAGAUCUGUUACCAAAAGACGAUAAAGAACUAGGGAAGCCAGAUGCUGUGUUGUGAGGACAGUCAGGCAGCCCCAUGGAGAGGCCCAUGUGGCAAGGCAUUGAGGACUUCUGCCAACAGCCAUAUGAAUGACCAUCUUGGAAGUAGGUGCUCCAGCCCUGGAUAAACCUUCAGAUGACUGCAGCCCCUGCUCAGAGCUUGACUGCAACCCCAUCAGAGACCCUGAGCCGGAGACACUCAGCUAAGUCACUCGGAGGUUUGCUUCAUCAGAAUCCAUAGGUUCUCAAGUGGCGCUCCUCCUUGUGCUCGCAGAACCCCGCUUAUUGACUCUACAGAUACUUUUUGCAGAAAAUGGCUGCCUCUUUGUUGUCUACUGUGACUCUUCAACUAGGAAAGAACCAAAUAGAUUUAACCUACUCAACUCGACACUUCUGAACAAAAAAGAAUGCAGAAUAUAUAGCACCAACCAGGUGAGUGUUCCACUCUAUAAAAGACUGUGCUGCUCUCUGAAUGUUUAUUCAUUUUACUUGUUGAUCAGAGGAAUUUA
RNAcentral lists this long non-coding RNA (605 nucleotides) under Pan troglodytes (chimpanzee). Its description in RNAcentral is "long non-coding RNA NONPTRT012157". Lineage: Eukaryota; Metazoa; Chordata; Mammalia; Primates; Hominidae. The record is from RNAcentral.